UGCAAGUCGAGCGAAUGGAUUAAGAGCUUGCUCUUAUGAAGUUAGCGGCGGACGGGUGAGUAACACGUGGGUAACCUGCCCAUAAGACUGGGAUAACUCCGGGAAACCGGGGCUAAUACCGGAUAACAUUUUGAACUGCAUGGUUCGAAAUUGAAAGGCGGCUUCGGCUGUCACUUAUGGAUGGACCCGCGUCGCAUUAGCUAGUUGGUGAGGUAACGGCUCACCAAGGCAACGAUGCGUAGCCGACCUGAGAGGGUGAUCGGCCACACUGGGACUGAGACACGGCCCAGACUCCUACGGGAGGCAGCAGUAGGGAAUCUUCCGCAAUGGACGAAAGUCUGACGGAGCAACGCCGCGUGAGUGAUGAAGGCUUUCGGGUCGUAAAACUCUGUUGUUAGGGAAGAACAAGUGCUAGUUGAAUAAGCUGGCACCUUGACGGUACCUAACCAGAAAGCCACGGCUAACUACGUGCCAGCAGCCGCGGUAAUACGUAGGUGGCAAGCGUUAUCCGGAAUUAUUGGGCGUAAAGCGCGCGCAGGUGGUUUCUUAAGUCUGAUGUGAAAGCCCACGGCUCAACCGUGGAGGGUCAUUGGAAACUGGGAGACUUGAGUGCAGAAGAGGAGAGUGGAAUUCCAUGUGUAGCGGUGAAAUGCGUAGAGAUAUGGAGGAACACCAGUGGCGAAGGCGACUUUCUGGUCUGUAACUGACACUGAGG
Molecule: ribosomal RNA, 715 nt
Filed under: Bacillus sp. PSu4_44
Lineage: Bacteria; Bacillati; Bacillota; Bacilli; Caryophanales; Bacillaceae
Description: bacterial SSU rRNA
Rfam family: Bacterial small subunit ribosomal RNA
Source: RNAcentral